This 592-nucleotide ribosomal RNA is filed under the name uncultured bacterium. RNAcentral's name for it is "bacterial SSU rRNA". It matches the Rfam family "Bacterial small subunit ribosomal RNA", at positions 338 to 945 of the family's 1533-position model. The record is from RNAcentral.
CCUACGGGAGGCAGCAGUGGGGAAUAUUGGACAAUGGGCGAAAGCCUGAUCCAGCAAUGCCGCGUGAGUGAUGAAGGCCUUAGGGUUGUAAAGCUCUUUUACCCGAGAUGAUAAUGACAGUAUCGGGAGAAUAAGCUCCGGCUAACUCCGUGCCAGCAGCCGCGGUAAUACGGAGGGAGCUAGCGUUGUUCGGAAUUACUGGGCGUAAAGCGCACGUAGGCGGCUUUUUAAGUCAGGGGUGAAAUCCCGGGGCUCAACCCCGGAACUGCCCUUGAAACUGGGAAGCUAGAAUCUUGGAGAGGCGAGUGGAAUUCCGAGUGUAGAGGUGAAAUUCGUAGAUAUUCGGAAGAACACCAGUGGCGAAGGCGACUCGCUGGACAAGUAUUGACGCUGAGGUGCGAAGGCGUGGGGAGCAAACAGGAUUAGAUACCCUGGUAGUCCACGCCGUAAACGAUGAUAACUAGCUGUCCGGGUUCAUGGAACUUGGGUGGCGCAGCUAACGCAUUAAGUUAUCCGCCUGGGGAGUACGGUCGCAAGAUUAAAACUUAGAAGUAUAGCGNUAGACGAGCGACGACGACGACGAGGAGGAGAG